AUUUAUUUAGUAUAAAAAAUAUUUUUAAUUUCCAAUUAAAAGAUUUAAUUAAUUUAAAAUAAAUA
This 65-nucleotide transfer RNA is filed under the name Chrysis leptomandibularis. RNAcentral describes it as "tRNA-Gly". Lineage: Eukaryota; Metazoa; Arthropoda; Insecta; Hymenoptera; Chrysididae. RNAcentral also lists the same sequence under 1 other name. The record is from RNAcentral.